Molecule: RNA transcript, 1950 nt
Organism: Quercus robur (English oak)
Lineage: Eukaryota; Viridiplantae; Streptophyta; Magnoliopsida; Fagales; Fagaceae
Gene name: G-box-binding factor 1
Exons: 12
Source: RefSeq, a predicted model, not a curated record
AUCCACUAAGACGUGGACAGCUGGAACCACCCCUCUUUUCACUCUCUCUCUCUCCCAAACCCUAAACCAACUCCUCCUCUUCCUAUAGGACACCGCCACACUGGAUUCACUCCUUAUUGUACGGUUCUAAACACACACACACACAAUAUUAACAACAACAACAACCACGUCGUACUACAACAACAAAAACAGCUUCAGAGGUAGUAGAAACUCAAACUAGAGAGAGAGAAAGAGACAAAGGAAGCACUGAAACACAAAAAAGAGGUUUUCUGGGACUCUGGCAGUGGAAGCUGUGUACGUAUAUUCUGGGCAGCAUAGAUUGAUUCCUCAGAUUCUUAAACCUAAAAUUCUCAGCCUUUUUUUUUGUUUUUGUUUUUUUCCAAAAAAAAACAAACAAACAUAUACUGUAAAUAAAAGAAGGGUCUGUAUUCCACUUGGACAUCCACCUCACUCUCUCCAAAACGCCAUCAAAGCAGGUGCUUCCAAGAUAUUGCUAAGGGUGCAAGUGAUCUGGUCUUAAACUGUGGAACUUAAAGGGGAUUUUAUGAAACAAUCUUUGAUGGGGACAGGGGAAGAGGGCACACCUCCUAAGCCUUCGAAACCAGCUUCUUCAACUCAGGAGAUACCGACAACACCUUAUGCUGAUUGGUCGAGCAUGCAGGCUUAUUAUGGUGCUGGAGCUACUGCACCUCCAUUUUUUGCCCCAACUGUUGCUUCUCCAACCCCCCACCCUUAUUUGUGGGGAAGCCAGCACCCUUUGAUGCCACCAUAUGGGACCCCAGUUCCAUACCCAGCUUUAUAUCCUGCAGGGGGUGUCUAUGCUCAUCCUAAUAUGACCACGACCCCAAACCCAGUGCAGACAAAUGCAGAGUUGGAAGGUAAGGGGCCUGAUGGAAAGGACCGGGCUUCAGCUAAAAAAUCCAAGGGAAUGUCUGGAAAUUCUGGCAAGGGUGGAGAGUCUGCAAAGGCAACUUCAGGUUCAGGAAAUGAUGGCGCUUCACAGAGUGCUGACAGCGGUACAGAUGGUUCUUCAGAUGCAAGCGAUGAGAACAAUAACCAACAGGAUUUUACAGCUAGCAAGAAGGGAAGCUUUGACCAGAUGCUUGCAGAUGGAGCUAAUGCACAUACUAACACUCCUGGGGCCAUUAUUCAAGCUUCUGUGCCUGGGAAUCCUGUAGUCUCAGUACCUGCAACUAAUCUGAAUAUUGGAAUGGACUUAUGGAAUGCAUCACCUGCUGGUGCUGGAGCUGCAAAAGUGAGAGCAAAUCCAUCUGGUGCCUCAUCAGCACAUGUUUCUCCAGCAAUGAUGGGUCGCGAAGGUGUAAUGCCUGAUCAGUGGGUACGGGAUGAACGUGAGCUGAAGAGACAGAAGAGAAAGCAAUCUAAUAGGGAGUCUGCUAGGAGGUCAAGAUUACGCAAACAGAGUGUGAAGAACUACAAGCAAGAGUGGAAACUUUGAACAACGAGAAUCUCAAUCUCAAGGAUGAGGUCCAGAGGCUUUCCGAGGAAUGUGAAAAGCUUACAUCCGAAAAUAGUUCCAUUAAGGAAGAGUUGACACGAAUAUGCGGACCAGAAGUAGUUGCUAACGUGGAACAGAACGUUGCCACAUCAGUUAUUCAAUCUCAUGGUGACGGCAACAAUUUAAAUUGAAACACUCCUACGAUACGACAGAUAACAUUGCAGUCAGAACAGAAAUUAAUUCAACUCCAGGAAGUAAUGGCAUUGGCCCUAAUGGAUCAUGAAACAUUUAUUUUCCUUACUAAUUUUAUAGCCUUAACCCUUUGUAACUGUUAACUUUUAUGAUAUCUUUACUGAGUUGGGACAUUCCUGAGUCCAUCUGUAUUGUUGUAUUGAUCAAUUGAAGAAAGAAAAAAAAUCAUAUAGGAGAAUACUUCAGCAACCGUUUAUGUAUUGAAUGGAAUCGCAAUGGAUAUUAGGCUUUCAGUUUAA